CGACACGUGGAGGGACAUGAACGGGUUUAGAAUACCAAUAACCAACUACAUAUAACAGUUAGAAUUUAAGGCCGUUCGGAAACAACUAAGGUGGAGGUGCUUCGAGAGAACCAGGGCAACCCAAGAAAAAAGUAUGCAGCUGAAGCUUAUCCUUGUCGGCCUGACGAUAUUUGGUCUCAUUGUGGCUGAAAGCGGUGCCAUGCCGGCCAGCGCGAGUGCCCAAGAGGCCGAAGCAAGGGCUGAACCCGAGUCUGCGGAGCGCGCAGAGCAAAGCAACGCUGAGGAGGCACGCAUCGGUGGAGCAUGUCUGGCAUCCCUGUGUGGCUAGGAGCCUAAUGCAACGGAAUGGCACAUUUGACCAGAGACAUCGCGCGCCACCAUAGAAUACCUAAUAAAAAGCUGUGUGAACAUUCCUAAAGGCCUAUCAUAGUGCAGCACCGAAAGUCAGGGGAAUACCUGUAGAAUGCAUUCUGGCCUUAAAUAAAAGUUUGUCUUCAUGGUA
Molecule: long non-coding RNA, 502 nt
Filed under: Rhipicephalus microplus (southern cattle tick)
Lineage: Eukaryota; Metazoa; Arthropoda; Arachnida; Ixodida; Ixodidae
Description: uncharacterized LOC119188145, transcript variant X3
Source: RNAcentral